CGGCUGCGAGGAGGAGAGGGGGAGAGCGGGGCCGAGCCCCAUGGGUGCACAUCCCACGGGCAGCUGAGGGAAUAACUCAGAAAGACUUUGGCCCGAGCUCUCGGCACCUCGCUUCGGAUGCCUUUUGUGUUGCACAGCUGCAGGUGUCUCCCCAAAACCCUGCAGCUGGCGUGGAGCUCAACCAGAUGACUUAUGAGAAGUGAUUUUUACUGAUUUCUUCUUCUUUUCCUUUUUCAUUUAUUUUUUAAACACCCUGAACUGCCUCAAAGGCAUAUGCUGUCAUUUGGGGGUUGCUUGUCUGCGAGGUAGUAUCUCACUCCCAGUGACCAGCAGAGGAAAAAAUCAUUGGAUUCACUAGGGGCAGUGACUCCCUAGAGGACAGAGAUAGGAAGAGAUGUCUAAAGGUGCCACACAAAGCUGAAAGACCUCCUCCAGCGACCUUGCAUUGCGGUUGUGCCAAUAAAAGUCUCUCCUACAUGAACACUUUUUCCCCCAGAGCAGAGGAGAAGUGGGACUGGGGUGCAUCCCUGCCCUCAAUCUCUCCCCAAGCUGGGAGAUUUGCACAGCUGCACCCUCACUGGCAGGACUUCAAGGUGAUGAUCCUCAUUCAAGAGUGCAGCAAUUCACGAAGGACUCUCACAUCCAGCUCAGAAGUUCCUGUGCAUGGUACAGCACACUGGACACAGAAAAAGAAGCCCCUGGAGCUGCUGCCAUCCUGCUCAGUGCAGCAGAGCCAGCCCAGAGCAUGACCAGGGGUGUUUGUGGUAACAACUCUGCCUCGCCCCUGCCCGUUGCAUGCACUCCCAUGGGGUGGCCUUGAUAAGCUGGGCUGCUUUCUGCCAAAAAGCAACAGUUAGAAAAGAGCAAUACAGAGCACAGAGGCAACAUUUCCCUCUUACAUCCUAAGGCUGAAGUGACUUUAAGGCUAACAGGGAGCUGCUGGUUGCCAUGUACUGUUCAGACUCUAUGGGAACACAUCUACAGUUGCUUCAAUGUGUCUUGUCCUUUGGAUUUUUACAUGAUUCUUCCCAGUGUAAUAGCUUACUUCAGUCAAAUAAAACUUGGAGUGCAAGAAAAA
Long non-coding RNA from Pogoniulus pusillus (Red-fronted tinkerbird), 1078 nucleotides. RefSeq lists it as uncharacterized. The record is from RefSeq and is a predicted model, not a curated record. NCBI's taxonomy places the organism in Eukaryota, Metazoa, Chordata, Aves, Piciformes, Lybiidae. The transcript has 4 exons.